RNAcentral lists this ribosomal RNA (362 nucleotides) under Triticum aestivum (bread wheat). RNAcentral describes it as "partial small subunit ribosomal RNA". It matches the Rfam family "Bacterial large subunit ribosomal RNA", at positions 1061 to 1428 of the family's 2925-position model. The record is from RNAcentral. Lineage: Eukaryota; Viridiplantae; Streptophyta; Magnoliopsida; Poales; Poaceae.
CAGUGAUAAAGGAGGUGGGGGUGCAAAGACAGCGAGGAGGUUUGCCUAGAAGCAGCCACCCUUUAAAGAGUGCGUAAUAGCUCACUGAUCGAGCGCCCUUGCGCUGAAGAUGAACGGGGCUAAGCGAUCUGCCGAAGCUGUGGGAUGUCAAAAUGCAUCGGUAGGGGAGCGUUCCGCCUUAGAGGGAAGCAACCGCGAAAGCGGGGGUCGAUGAAGCGGAAGCGAGAAUGUCGGCUUGAGUAACGAAAACAUUGGUGAGAAUCCAAUGCCCCGAAAACCCAAGGUUUCCUCUGCAAGGUUCGUCCACAGAGGGUGAGUCAGGGCCUAAGAUCAGGCCGAAAGGCGUAGUCGAUGGACAACAU